Molecule: ribosomal RNA, 468 nt
Filed under: uncultured bacterium
Lineage: Bacteria
Description: partial 16S ribosomal RNA
Rfam family: Bacterial small subunit ribosomal RNA
Source: RNAcentral
GACGAACGCUGGCGGCGUGCUUAACACAUGCAAGUCGAACGGAAAGGCCCUUCUUUGGUUGGGUGCGCGGGUGGCGAACGGGUAAGUAGCGCGUGAGUUACCUUCCCUUGACGGUGAGAUAACUGCAGGAAACUGUGAUUAAUAACAGGUAUGCUCUCCUGCUGCAUGGGGGGGGUUAGCAAGUUUCGGCGGUUGGGGAUGGACUGGGGGCUUAUCAGCUUGUGGGUGGGGGGCUGGCUUACCAAGGCUUUGGGGGGUGGCCGGCCUGGGGGGGUGACCGGCACAAUUGGGACUGAGAUACGGCCCAGACCCCUCCGGGAGGAAGCAGUGGGAAAUUUGGAACAAUGGCCGGAAGCCUGAUGAAGCAACGCGGGGGGCGGGAUGACGGCCUUGGGUUUGUAAACCGCUUUAGCCUGUGACGAAGUGUGAGUGACGGUACUUGGUAAAGAAGCACCGGCUAACUACGUG